GUGGGGAAUAUUGCGCAAUGGGGGAAACCCUGACGCAGCGACGCCGUGUGAGGGAAGAAGGCUUUCGGGUCGUAAACCUCUGUCAGAAAGGAAGAACCUCCCAAGUCCGAAUAGGGCUUGGGACUGACGGUACUUUCAAAGGAAGCACCGGCUAACUCCGUGCCAGCAGCCGCGGUAAUACGGAGGGUGCAAGCGUUAAUCGGAAUCACUGGGCGUAAAGCGCGCGUAGGCCGCUUUGUAAGUCGGACGUGAAAGCCCGCGGCUCAACCGGGGAACUGCGUUCGAUACUGCGAGGCUUGAGUCCUGGAGAGGGUGGCGGAAUUCCGGGUGUAGGAGUGAAAUCCGUAGAUAUCCGGAGGAACACCGGUGGCGAAGGCGGCCACCUGGACAGGUACUGACGCUGAGGCGCGAAAGCGUGGGGAGCAAACAGGAUUAGAAACCCGGGUAGUCC
This 451-nucleotide ribosomal RNA is filed under the name uncultured bacterium. RNAcentral's name for it is "partial 16S ribosomal RNA". It matches the Rfam family "Bacterial small subunit ribosomal RNA", at positions 354 to 796 of the family's 1533-position model. The record is from RNAcentral.